UACAGAGGGUGCAAGCGUUAAUCGGAAUUACUGGGCGUAAAGCGCGCGUAGGUGGUUCGUUAAGUUGGAUGUGAAAUCCCCGGGCUCAACCUGGGGACUGCAUUCAAAACUGACGAGCUAGAGUAUGGUAGAGGGUGGUGGAAUUUCCUGUGUAGCGGUGAAAUGCGUAGAUAUAGGAAGGAACACCAGUGGCGAAGGCGACCACCUGGACUGAUACUGACACUGAGGUGCGAAAGCGUGGGGAGCAAACAGG
RNAcentral lists this ribosomal RNA (253 nucleotides) under uncultured bacterium. RNAcentral's name for it is "partial 16S ribosomal RNA". It matches the Rfam family "Bacterial small subunit ribosomal RNA", at positions 524 to 776 of the family's 1533-position model. The record is from RNAcentral.